GCCGGGCAUGGUGGCACAUGCCUGUAGUCCCAGCUACUCGGGAGGCUGAGGCAGGAGAAUCGCUUGAACCCAGGAGGCAGAGGUUGCAGUGAGCCAAGAUCGUGCCAUUGCACUCCAGCCUGGGUGACAGAGUGAGACUCUGUCUCAA
Unclassified non-coding RNA from Papio anubis (olive baboon), 148 nucleotides. It matches the Rfam family "Metazoan signal recognition particle RNA". Rfam says of the family: The signal recognition particle (SRP) is a universally conserved ribonucleoprotein. It is involved in the co-translational targeting of proteins to membranes. The record is from Ensembl. NCBI's taxonomy places the organism in Eukaryota, Metazoa, Chordata, Mammalia, Primates, Cercopithecidae.